GAUGAACGCUAGCGGCAGGCUUAAUACAUGCAAGUCGUGGGGCAGCAGGUCCCGCAGCAAUGUGGGAUGCUGGCGACCGGCAAACGGGUGCGGAACACGUACACAACCUUCCUUUAAGUGGGAAUAGCCCGGGGAAACCCGGAUUAAUACCCCGUAACAUGAUGAAGUGGCAUCACUUUAUUAUAAUAGCUCCGGCGCUUUAAGAUGGGUGUGCGACUGAUUAGGCAGUUGGCGGGGUAACGGCCCACCAAACCUACGAUCAGUAACUGGUGUGAGAGCACGACCAGUCACACGGGCACUGAGACACGGGCCCGACUCCUACGGGAGGCAGCAGUAAGGAAUAUUGGUCAAUGGACGCAAGUCUGAACCAGCCAUGCCGCGUGGAGGAUGAAGGUCCUCUGGAUUGUAAACUUCUUUUAUCUGGGAAGAAACCCACGAAUUCUUUUGUGGCUGACGGUACCAGAUGAAUAAGCACCGGCUAACUCCGUGCCAGCAGCCGCGGUAAUACGGAGGGUGCAAGCGUUAUCCGGAUUCACUGGGUUUAAAGGGUGCGUAGGUGGGUUGGUAAGUCAGUGGUGAAAUCUCCAGGCUUAACUUGGAAACUGCCAUUGAUACUAUCAAUCUUGAAUGCCGUGGAGGUCAGCGGAAUAUGUCAUGUAGCGGUGAAAUGCUUUAGAUAUGACAUAGAACACCAAUUGCGAAGGCAGCUGGCUACACGAAUAUUGACACUGAUGCACGAAAGCGUGGGGAUCAAAACAGGAUUAGAUACCCUGGUAGU
Molecule: ribosomal RNA, 778 nt
Filed under: uncultured bacterium
Lineage: Bacteria
Description: bacterial SSU rRNA
Rfam family: Bacterial small subunit ribosomal RNA
Source: RNAcentral